GCCAGGCAUGGUGGUGCAUGCCUGUAAUCCCAGCGGCUGGGGAGGCUGAGGCAGGAGGAUCGUAAGUUCAAAGCCAGCCUCAG
This 83-nucleotide small RNA is filed under the name Marmota monax (woodchuck). The record is from RNAcentral. Lineage: Eukaryota; Metazoa; Chordata; Mammalia; Rodentia; Sciuridae.